CGGAAGCACCGGCAGACAGUUCCGUAACACGUCGAUAAUCUGCCCUUGGGUUGGGGAUAACCUUGGAAAACUGAGGAUAACACCCGAUAAGUGAAAGAUACUGGAAUGUACUUUCACCAAAAGAUUACGCCCAAGGAUGAGUCGGCGCCCGAUUAGGUAGUUGGUGGUGUAAUGGACCACCAAGCCUAAGAUCGGUUGGGGCCUUGAGAGAGGUAGCCCCGAGGAGGACACUGAGAUAACGGUCCUGACUCUACGGAGUAUAGCAAGUGCGAAACCUUUACAAUGCACGAAAGUGUGAUAAGGGAUUCUGAGUGCCUAUGCAUUGCAUAGGCUUUUGCCAAGUGUAAAAAGCUUGGAGAAUAAGUGGUGGGCAAGACUGGUGCCAGCAGCCGCGGUAACACCAGCGCCACAAGUGGGGACCACAAUUAUUGGGCCUAAAGCGUUCGUAGCCGGCUAUAUAAAUCUUUUGUGAAAUUGUUAGGCUUAACUUAACAGCUUGCAGAAGACACUAUAUGGCUAGAGACCGGGAGGAGUCAGAGGAAUUUUGGGGGUAGCGGUAAAAUGCAAUAAUCCCCGAAGGACCACCAGUGGCGAAGGCGUCUGACCAGAACGGUUCUGACGGUGAGGAACGAAAGCCAGGGGAGCGAACCGGAUUAGAUACCCGAGUAGUCCUGGCCGUAAACACUGCGAGCUAGGUGUCGCAUAUUCUACGUGAAUGUGCGGUGUCGAAGCGAAGGUGAUAAGCUCGCCGCCUGGGUAGUACGGUCGCAAGACUGAAACUUAAAGGAAUUGGCGGGGGAGCACAACAAGGGGUGCGGCGUGCGGUUUAAUCCAACUCAACGCGGAGAAUCUCACCAGAGGCGACGGCAGGAUGAAAGUCAGGCUAAAGACCUUACUUAACAAGCCGAGAGGUGGUGCAUGGCCGUCGUCAGCUCGUGCUGUGAAGUGUCCUGUUAAGUCAGGCAACGAGCGAGACCUGCACUCACAAUUGCCAUCGGCACUUAUAGUGGACCGGGCACAAUGUGAGGACUGCCUUGGUAACAAGGAGGAAGGUGCAGGCAACGGUAGGUCUGUAUGCCCCGAAUCCUCUGGGCUACACGCGCGCAACAAUGGUAUGGACAAUGGGAUGCAACUCCGAAAGGAGAAGCUAAACCUCUAAACCAUAUCCCAGUCCAGAUUGAGGGCUGUAACUCGCCCUCAUGACGUCGGAAUCCCUAGUAACCAGACUUUAGCAUAGUCCGGUGAAUAUGUCCCUGCUCCUUGCACACACCGCCC
This 1275-nucleotide ribosomal RNA is filed under the name metagenome. Its description in RNAcentral is "bacterial SSU rRNA". It matches the Rfam family "Archaeal small subunit ribosomal RNA", at positions 70 to 1351 of the family's 1478-position model. The record is from RNAcentral.